RNAcentral lists this ribosomal RNA (492 nucleotides) under uncultured bacterium. RNAcentral's name for it is "partial 16S ribosomal RNA". It matches the Rfam family "Bacterial small subunit ribosomal RNA", at positions 29 to 507 of the family's 1533-position model. The record is from RNAcentral.
AGUGAACGCUGGCGGUAGGCCUAACACAUGCAAGUCGAACGGCAGCACAGUAAGAGCUUGCUCUUACGGGUGGCGAGUGGCGGACGGGUGAGGAAUACAUCGGAAUCUACUUUUUCGUGGGGGAUAACGUAGGGAAACUUACGCUAAUACCGCAUACGACCUACGGGUGAAAGCAGGGGAUCUUCGGACCUUGCGCGAUUGAAUGAGCCGAUGUCGGAUUAGCUAGUUGGCGGGGUAAAGGCCCACCAAGGCGACGAUCCGUAGCUGGUCUGAGAGGAUGAUCAGCCACACUGGAACUGAGACACGGUCCAGACUCCUACGGGAGGCAGCAGUGGGGAAUAUUGGACAAUGGGCGCAAGCCUGAUCCAGCCAUACCGCGUGGGUGAAGAAGGCCUUCGGGUUGUAAAGCCCUCUUGUUGGGAAAGAAAAGCAGCAGGUUAAUACCCUGCUGUUCUGACGGUACCCAAAGAAUAAGCACCGGCUAACUUCGUG